UUCCUACGGGAGGCAGCAGUGGGGAAUAUUGCACAAUGGGCGCAAGCCUGAUGCAGCGAUGCCGCGUGAGGGAAGAAGGUUUUCGGAUUGUAAACCUCUGUGGACAGGGACGAUAAUGACGGUACCUGUCAAGAAAGCCACGGCUAACUACGUGCCAGCAGCCGCGGUAAUACGUAGGUGGCGAGCGUUGUCCGGAAUUACUGGGUGUAAAGGGAGUGUAGGCGGGAAGGCAAGUCAGAAGUGAAAAUUAUGGGCUCAACCCAUAAACUGCUUUUGAAACUGUUUUUCUUGAGUGAAGCAGAGGG
RNAcentral lists this ribosomal RNA (305 nucleotides) under uncultured bacterium. RNAcentral's name for it is "bacterial SSU rRNA". It matches the Rfam family "Bacterial small subunit ribosomal RNA", at positions 336 to 658 of the family's 1533-position model. The record is from RNAcentral.